CUUCUAUAAUAAAUAUACACACAACAAAGAUUUAUAAAAGUAAAAAAAAACAAGACUAGGAUUGGAACCUAGUUCUCAGAACAGUUCUUCAAGACAACUAGCACCAUCUGUUGGAAGAUUCUGAAGGAUAUUGUGAGAUCCCUAGGGAUUCAAAGGGACCAAUCAGAGAGUUUGCAUUAAUUAAUGUCUUGAAGAAAUGCCAGGUACAUCACAAAUGAAGGCAGUAGCUGUGUUUGAUAUCCGAGUUACUCUAUUGGUUCUUGUAGAAGACCGCGUACAAUUGAUUUCCUCCCACUGAACCUCCGUAUGAAUUUUUGAUGAUGCAACCUGGACACCUUCCACAGGAAACAAAGGGCCAAGAAAUGCAAGCUUGUUACCUGUUAAUCAGACUUACUGAUCUACAGGUAUGCAUUGGAACGUUGGCACCAGCUUUACUGCAAAACUGCCGUCUAUAAUUGGUGUGAUAAUUACCAUUUACAAGUACCCGACUCCCUGUGUGACAGCUAUAGUAGGCAGUAUUUCACCAAGUUUCCAACAAGGAUCAAAAGGUUGAAGAAAGCUAAGGUAGCAGUUGAAUGCAUGUUGAAACAGGAUAGGUGAAAAUCCCUCCAUACACCUGGCCUAUAGUCUGUUUCAGAAAAGUGUAUGAGGAUUAUUACUUUACCUUGUCGAUCAAUAUGUGUAGCGACGAGCAGGAUUAGUAACCCAGUCUGACUUAAGGCCGAGAUGACAUAAGCUCAUUCAUACAGAUUUAACACAAUAUCACAGAGAUCAUGCAAAAUGAGUUUGGUGCUGGGAAGGAGCAGAUAAAUAUAGUUUUGAGGGACCUUCUGAAGCCUUCCAGGAAAAUAAAAGCCUGCGAUAAUACAAAUUGAAGAUAUUUAUAUUUUUGUUGUGUUUUUUUUCCCCAGUAGAAUUUUGAACCCUGUGGUUGCAUAUGGGUUUCCAUGGCAUUUGGUGGAAAUCCAUGAAAUUCCAUGGCAGUUCGUGGAAAUCCAUGAAAUUCCAUGGCAGUUCGUGGAAUUCCAUGGCAGUUCGUGGAAAUCCAUGAAAUUACAUGGCAGUUUGUGGAAUUCCAUGGAUUUUUUUCUACAAAAAUCCAUCUGUAUUUCCAUGUCAAUAUUUUUCUAUCACACAUGGCAUUUCAUGGAAAAAAAACUGUCUAAAUACUCCAUGGAAUAUUUCCAGCAAAAUUCCAUGGCAGUUUGUGGAAAUCUCAGAGACGGGUACUGACAUUCUUUAAUUAAAUAAUUCUAUUUCUUGGUAAAAU
Pecten maximus is the source of this 1270-nucleotide long non-coding RNA. RefSeq lists it as uncharacterized. The transcript has 3 exons. Lineage: Eukaryota; Metazoa; Mollusca; Bivalvia; Pectinida; Pectinidae. The record is from RefSeq and is a predicted model, not a curated record.